This 495-nucleotide ribosomal RNA is filed under the name uncultured bacterium. RNAcentral's name for it is "partial 16S ribosomal RNA". It matches the Rfam family "Bacterial small subunit ribosomal RNA", at positions 28 to 507 of the family's 1533-position model. The record is from RNAcentral.
GACGAACGCUGGCGGCGUGCCUAAUACAUGCAAGUAGAACGCUGAAGGAGGAGCUUGCUUCUCUGGAUGAGUUGCGAACGGGUGAGUAACGCGUAGGUAACCUGCCUGGUAGCGGGGGAUAACUAUUGGAAACGAUAGCUAAUACCGCAUAAGAGUAGAUGUCGCAUGACAUUUGCUUAAAAGGUGCAAUUGCAUCACUACCAGAUGGACCUGCGUUGUAUUAGCUAGUUGGUGAGGUAACGGCUCACCAAGGCAACGAUACAUAGCCGACCCGAGAGGGUGAUCGGCCACACUGGGACUGAGACACGGCCCAGACUCCUACGGGAGGCAGCAGUAGGGAAUCUUCGGCAAUGGACGGAAGUCUGACCGAGCAACGCCGCGUGAGUGAAGAAGGUUUUCGGAUCGUAAAGCUCUGUUGUAAGAGAAGAACGAGUGUGAGAGUGGAAAGUUCACACUGUGACGGUAUCUUACCAGAAAGAGACGGCUAACUACGUG